This 492-nucleotide ribosomal RNA is filed under the name uncultured bacterium. RNAcentral's name for it is "partial 16S ribosomal RNA". It matches the Rfam family "Bacterial small subunit ribosomal RNA", at positions 29 to 507 of the family's 1533-position model. The record is from RNAcentral.
AGUGAACGCUGGCAGUAGGCCUAACACAUGCAAGUCGAACGGCAGCACAGUAAGAGCUUGCUCUUACGGGUGGCGAGUGGCGGACGGGUGAGGAAUACAUCGGAAUCUACUUUUUCGUGGGGGAUAACGUAGGGAAACUUACGCUAAUACCGCAUACGACCUACGGGUGAAAGCAGGGGAUCUUCGGACCUUGCGCGAUUGAAUGAGCCGAUGUCGGAUUAGCUAGUUGGCGGGGUAAAGGCCCACCAAGGCGACGAUCCGUUGCUGGUCUGAGAGGAUGAUCAGCCACACUGGAACUGAGACACGGUCCAGACUCCUACGGGAGGCAGCAGUGGGGAAUAUUGGACAAUGGGCGCAAGCCUGAUCCAGCCAUACCGCGUGGGUGAAGAAGGCCUUCGGGUUGUAAAGCCCUUUUGUUGGGAAAGAAAAGCAGCAGGUUAAUACCCCGCUGUUCUGACGGUACCCAAAGAAUAAGCACCGGCUAACUUCGUG